UUAAAUUGAAGAGUUUGAUCAUGGCUCAGAUUGAACGCUGGCGGCAGGCCUAACACAUGCAAGUCGAACGGUAACAGGAAGUAGCUUGCUGCUUCGCUGACGAGUGGCGGACGGGUGAGUAAUGUCUGGGAAACUGCCUG
This 140-nucleotide ribosomal RNA is filed under the name Salmonella enterica. Its description in RNAcentral is "partial 16S ribosomal RNA". It matches the Rfam family "Bacterial small subunit ribosomal RNA", at positions 1 to 132 of the family's 1533-position model. RNAcentral also lists the same sequence under 1 other name. Lineage: Bacteria; Pseudomonadati; Pseudomonadota; Gammaproteobacteria; Enterobacterales; Enterobacteriaceae. The record is from RNAcentral.